UACGUAGGCAGCGAGCGUUGUUCGGAGUUACUGGGCGUAAAGAGUGCGUAGGCGGUUUUCUAAGUUUGGUGUGAAAUCUCCCGGCUUAACUGGGAGGGUGCGCCGAAGACUGGAAGGCUUGAGUAUGGGAGAGGUAAGCGGAAUUCCUGGUGUAGCGGUGAAAUGCGUAGAUAUCAGGAGGAACACCUGUGGUGUAGACGGCUCUCUGGACAGUAACUGACGCUGAGACACGAAAGCGUGGGUAGCAAACAGG
This 253-nucleotide ribosomal RNA is filed under the name uncultured bacterium. Its description in RNAcentral is "partial 16S ribosomal RNA". It matches the Rfam family "Bacterial small subunit ribosomal RNA", at positions 524 to 776 of the family's 1533-position model. The record is from RNAcentral.